AGGGGGAGGCUGGAUCCUGGGCUGUGUCCCCGGCAACCUGUGCUCCUGGGCCUGUGCUGUUGGAUUCGCUCCCAGCCGCGCACAGCCCCCU
RNAcentral lists this microRNA precursor (91 nucleotides) under Canis lupus familiaris (dog). RNAcentral describes it as "mir-8799 microRNA precursor family". It matches the Rfam family "mir-8799 microRNA precursor family". RNAcentral also lists the same sequence under 1 other name. The record is from Rfam by way of RNAcentral. Lineage: Eukaryota; Metazoa; Chordata; Mammalia; Carnivora; Canidae.